AGUGCUCUACUUCUCUAAUAGCUAUCUAAUCAAUCCUCUAAACUUGAAGGAUUAGGGAGUAGCUAAUUCUAAUUCUCUGUGGGAGAGAAGCUCUAAACCCUAACUUUGAUGGCUACCUCUGAUAAUGAUUUCUCCUCUUCUCUUCUCUCCUCCAGGGGUGGAGAGGCCUUGGUUAUAUAGUCCUUUCAAGUGAAUUUGGGCCGUCGGAUCAAACCGAUAUUGAUCGCACGGUUUUCCUUGAUCCUUUAGGUCGGUGGAGCACGAUCCAAGAGUUUGGUUCGGAUUGGCCCCGAGACCAGGGCGGGCGCCCUGCCCCCGAGCCCGUCCGGUCUCCCGUUCGUUCCCGUGGCUUCUGGACUCUUCUAGAUUGAGGAAAAUUGCGCGGCACGUAAUUAUCUCGUUGUAAACAAGACAUGUGGGCCUUCUCUCCAUAUUUUUUGAUAACCCUCUGUAGAAAUAGAUAAACACCAAAGCUCAUGGAAUUCUGUCAGAUAAAACCCUAAUUCUAGAUGUUUGGUGCAUAUUGAUCCUUUUCCAUGUUUAUUUGAUGGUUAGAUUUAGUACUUAAGGACUGUCAACAAACUCCCCAAAGCUUACCCUUUGCUUGUCCCUGAGCAAACAACUAAACUCAGACGGAUCAGGAGUUGCUUCGAUGUUUUCUUUCCUGACAGGCACACAUGCUUUUAUAUAAAAAUUCUUCUAGAUUAGAGUGAAGUGUCAUGGAGCUUAGUACCUGCACCUAAGUCUUAAGUAAUUGAAAGACAAAAUAAUUAAGUCAAGCACUAUUCCUCCUGUCUAUACUUCACCUUUGUUCUAGAGUUUUUCAUAAGUUUUCAAAAUAAAACUCAGAGUUCCCAGCAAUGAUUCUCUCAAGUCUCUCUAUAUGUGGUAUUUGUGGAUCCUUACCAAAAUGUCACUUAACUAUAGCUAAUGGAAUAUUUAAGUGGAGCUCAUAGGUGUGGAAAACAGCUCAUACAUAUGUUGUCUAAUCGAGCCAUGGAUCCAAAAGAACUCAGCAUAUAAUUAAAUCAAGAUGUGCAUGUGUGGUGGAGUAAAUGAUAGUGAUGGUAAAAAAAUGUAUAAGUGAUAAUAAAACUUACUUCUCAUUGCUCCUCAUAUUGCUACCUCUCCUCUUCUUUGAUCUUUGGUUUGGUAGAACAUGGGCUAUCUCUCUUUUUUUUCAGGUGGGUAGUAGAUACCCCUAAUUCUACUAUCGGACACUUGUCCAUUUUUUCCGCUCAAGUGGGCAUCUUUGUACCCCUAAUUCUACUCCGGACACUUGUCCAUUUUUACCUCUCGUCUCACUCUUUUUUCUUUAUUUUUCUUUUUCAAGGUUCUGGGCACUUGCCCCGUUUUAUUUCCUAGGAUAUUUUUGCAUAACCCAUGUCUCUUCUGCAUUGAAUCUUUUUGGAGAGAGAGAAUAACAACACUUGGGACGGUGAGUGAUAAUAUUUUUAGCAAUUUUAAUGAGUGGUGGUGGAGGGUGUAGUAGAUGUGUGCAAGUGAAUAUCUUAAUUUAACCACAUGAAAAGUGUUGAUAUUUGGUAACGCAAUUAGAAAAUGAUCCGCAAGCGCACGGAUAUCGGUGAGCAUUUCACCCGGGAGGUUAUCCAGAGUUAUCGUAUUUAUAUUUUUACCACUGGGAGAAAGGGUGCAUCUGACUAACCAAAUCUAUUGCUACUAUCCCUUUAGGCUACAAAGAAUGUCUCUCGAUGUGAGUGAUGUAUAGAGAAGACUACAACCUUAGUCUCGUUCUAACCUUGGUAAGGAUGAUCUACUGUUCUAUUGGGGAGGCUGACGGAAUCUAGACAACACAAAGGAUGUUCGACCCACACCUAUAAACCUACCCGUCCUGCUAACGAGAUGUGAUCUACAAAGGUAACUCGGAAAUGUCAUGUUCCUCGCUACUACCACGGUCCAGCUAGUCAGGGGAUAUCUAUGAGUACCUUAGCCUAAACACCACGUUUACGCCAACAAGUGAUUACUCUAAUACUCAACCGGAAGAGGAUUAAAGUAAACUCAUAAACCAAAGAACAAUAAAACAAGAACUUACUAGUAUUAGAAGUCGAAUUACUAAAGAAUCUUAGAAGCAAGCC
This 2096-nucleotide long non-coding RNA is filed under the name Sorghum bicolor (sorghum). RNAcentral describes it as "long non-coding RNA (SBIC_LNC017772)". The record is from RNAcentral. Lineage: Eukaryota; Viridiplantae; Streptophyta; Magnoliopsida; Poales; Poaceae.